Molecule: ribosomal RNA, 485 nt
Filed under: uncultured bacterium
Lineage: Bacteria
Description: partial 16S ribosomal RNA
Rfam family: Bacterial small subunit ribosomal RNA
Source: RNAcentral
AUUGAACGCUGGCGGCAUGCCUUACACAUGCAAGUCGAACGGCAGCGGGCCCUUCGGGGUGCCGGCGAGUGGCGAACGGGUGAGUAAUGCAUCGGAACGUACCCGGGAGAGGGGGAUAACCGGCCGAAAGGCUGGCUAAUACCGCAUGAACUCGGAAGAGCAAAGCGGGGGACCUUCGGGCCUCGCGCUCUCGGAGCGGCCGAUGUCCGAUUAGGCUAGUUGGUGGGGUAAAGGCCCACCAAGGCGACGAUCGGUAGCGGGUCUGAGAGGACGAUCCGCCACACUGGGACUGAGACACGGCCCAGACUCCUACGGGAGGCAGCAGUGGGGAAUCUUGGACAAUGGGCGCAAGCCUGAUCCAGCAAUGCCGCGUGGGUGAAGAAGGCUUUCGGGUUGUAAAGCCCUUUCGGCGGGGAAGAAAUCGGUCAGGCGAAUAGUCUGGCUGGAUGACGGUACCCGCAGAAGAAGCACCGGCUAACUACGUG